CCUACGGGUGGCAGCAGUGAGGAAUAUUGGUCAAUGGCCGAGAGGCUGAACCAGCCAAGUCGCGUGAGGGAAGAAUGUCCUAUGGAUUGUAAACCUCUUUUGUCAGGGAGUAAAGUCACCAACGUGUGGCUGUUGGUGUGUACCUUAUGAAUAAGCCUCGGCUAACUCCGUGCCAGCAGCCGCGGUAAUACGGAGGAUGCGAGCGUUAUACGGAUUUAUUGGGUUUAAAGGGUGCGUAGGCGGGUUAUUAAGUCAGCGGUUAAAUCGUGGAGCUCAACUCCAUCCGGCCGUUGAAACUGAUGAUCUUGAGUGGGCGAGAAGUAUGCGGAAUGCGUGGUGUAGCGGUGAAAUGCAUAGAUAUCACGAAGAACUCCGAUUGCGAAGGCAGCAUACCGGCGCCAGACUGACGCUGAGGCACGAAAGCGUGGGUAUCGAACAGGAUUAGAUACCCGGGUAGUC
RNAcentral lists this ribosomal RNA (459 nucleotides) under uncultured bacterium. RNAcentral's name for it is "partial 16S ribosomal RNA". It matches the Rfam family "Bacterial small subunit ribosomal RNA", at positions 338 to 795 of the family's 1533-position model. The record is from RNAcentral.